UCAAGGUUAGGUUGUCAACACUGUUGUACGAGUAAAAAAAAACUAGAUUUGAAACUCUGCUCCCAUAUCUGUCGUUACAUGGUCAGCAGCAAUUACUGAAAGAGGGAGAAACGAGAAAGCGGGACUGACAAGCAAGAGCUUGGUUUGUGAAAGCCUCUCAGGAUCUCACAGCUGUAGCUCCGCUUGAGAAACAUCUAUUAUGGAUUUGAGAUGUGCAACGUGCAGCUUACAUGUCCCAAAUUGACAGACGUAAAGAAGCUCAGAAUUCGAGUCUCGAAGGAGGAGCUACGUCCAGCCGGACGUUUUAUACAGCUGAACAGUUGCCAUGGGAGACUAAAGGCUCUCUAAAACGCGCAUGAAAGAAUCAAAGCAUCACUCCAGGUAUGUUUUUGAUCAGAGAAUAACAUCCUAACAUUGUGUAAAGCUGUAAAAAGUUGAUUUUACAUAAUUCUGCCCCUUUAAAUGCAUGUUUUAAUUUAAGUUCUGCAUUCGGUUUUGUGUGGACAAAACAAAUGGCUCCUGUGUAACUUGCUAAAGGGCAUACAUUCAAACAUUAAUGUGGAUUGAAUUUAUAUGUAUACUUUACAUAGUUAGGGUGAAAGAGGAUCCAAAAUUUGAGCAGAUUUGCACACCAAGUUUUAGUUUUAAAAAAUUAACAACCACCUCCACCCCCCCCCUCCCAAAAAAAGAAAAAAAAAACAGGAUUCAAAUGUGCACUAAAGUUGUUUUUUUCUAGAUCUUAGUGAUAUGUGAAUCAGCGUAAUGUGGCUUAAAAGACUGAAAAUGCAAACAUCACCUACUGCCUCUGACUGUUAGAACUUAAAUAGAAGUACUUAGAAGUUUGGCUUUACACCGUACUGAUUCACUGAUGCUGCUUGUUAAGUUGCAGUUAUGAUUGUCCAUAUUGUGCAAACAGUUUUUUUUUUCACUAUCUUCACAGCACUCACUGAGUAUGAGGGGGGGACAUAAUGAAGUGUAGGUGAGAGCUCAUCUGUAACCUGAGUAGAAAUGAUCACCAAAAAAA
Non-coding RNA from Poecilia reticulata (guppy), 1024 nucleotides. Lineage: Eukaryota; Metazoa; Chordata; Actinopteri; Cyprinodontiformes; Poeciliidae. The record is from RefSeq and is a predicted model, not a curated record.